RNAcentral lists this ribosomal RNA (412 nucleotides) under uncultured bacterium. RNAcentral describes it as "bacterial SSU rRNA". It matches the Rfam family "Bacterial small subunit ribosomal RNA", at positions 397 to 831 of the family's 1533-position model. The record is from RNAcentral.
CCGCGUGGAGGAUGAAGGCUUCGGGUUGUAACUCCUUUUCUUGGGAAAGAUAAUGACGGUACCCAAGGAAUAAGCCACGGCUAACUCUGUGCCAGCAGCCGCGGUAAGACAGAGGUGGCGAGCGUUGUUCGGAAUUACUGGGCUUAAAGGGCGAGUAGGCGGUGGAGCAAGUCUGAGGUGGAAUCUUAGGGCUUAACCCUAAAACUGCCUUAGAAACUGUUUUACUUGAGUCAGUGAGGGGAGGGCGGAAUUCCUGGUGUAGCGGUGAAAUGCGUAGAUAUCAGGAGGAAGGCCUGUGGCGAAGCGGCCCUCUGGCACUGUACUGACGCUGAGCGCGAAACGUGGGUAGCAAACAGGAUUAGAUACCCUGGUAGUCCACGCCCUAAACGGUGGGCAUUAGUGUAGGGCUCGU